Molecule: ribosomal RNA, 257 nt
Filed under: uncultured bacterium
Lineage: Bacteria
Description: partial 16S ribosomal RNA
Rfam family: Bacterial small subunit ribosomal RNA
Source: RNAcentral
UGGCGGACGGGUGAGUAAUGUCUGGGAAACUGCCUGAUGGAGGGGGAGUAACUACUGGAAACGGUAGCUAAUACCGCAUAACGUCGCAAGACCAAAGAGGGGGACCUUCGGGCCUCCUGCCAUCGGAUGUGCCCAGAUGGGAUUAGCUAGUAGGUGGGGUAACGGCUCACCUAGGCGACGAUCCCUAGCUGGUCUGAGAGGAUGACCAGCCACACUGGAACUGAGACACGGUCCAGACUCCUACGGGAGGCAGCAUG